This 446-nucleotide ribosomal RNA is filed under the name uncultured bacterium. RNAcentral describes it as "partial 16S ribosomal RNA". It matches the Rfam family "Bacterial small subunit ribosomal RNA", at positions 338 to 795 of the family's 1533-position model. The record is from RNAcentral.
CCUACGGGGAGCAGCAGUCGAGAAUCAUUCACAAUGGGGGAAACCCUGAUGGUGCGACGCCGCGUGGGGGAAUGAAGGUCUUCGGAUUGUAAACCCCUGUCAUGUGGGAGCAAAUUAAAAAGAUAGUACCACAAGAGGAAGAGACGGCUAACUCUGUGCCAGCAGCCGCGGUAAUACAGAGGUCUCAAGCGUUGUUCGGAAUCACUGGGCGUAAGGCGUGCGUAGGCUGUUUCGUAAGUCGUGUGUGAAAGGCGCGGGCUCAACCCGCGGACGGCACAUGAUACUGCGAGACUAGAGUAAUGGAGGGGGAACCGGAAUUCGCGGUGUAGCAGUGAAAUGCGUAGAUAUCGAGAGGAACACUCGUGGCGAAGGCGGGUUCCUGGACAUUAACUGACGCUGAGGCACGAAGGCCAGGGGAGCGAAAGGGAUUAGAUACCCCAGUAGUC